This 512-nucleotide ribosomal RNA is filed under the name uncultured bacterium. RNAcentral's name for it is "partial 16S ribosomal RNA". It matches the Rfam family "Bacterial small subunit ribosomal RNA", at positions 28 to 473 of the family's 1533-position model. The record is from RNAcentral.
GAUGAACGCUGGCGGCGUGCCUAAUACAUGCAAGGCGAACGAAACUUCUUUAUCACCGAGUGCUUGCACUCACCGAUAAAGAGUUGAGUGGCGAACGGGUGAGUAACACGUGGGCAACCUGCCCAAAAGAGGGGGAUAACACUUGGAGACAGGUGCUAAUACCGCAUAACCAUAGUUACCGCAUGGUAACUAUGUAAAAGGUGGCUAUACUACCGCUUUUGGAUGGGCCCGCGGCGCAUUAGCUAGUUGGUAGGGUAAAGGCUUACCAAGGCAAUGAUGCGUAGCCGAAUUGAGAGGUUGAUCGGCCACAUUGGGACUGAGACACGGCCCAAACUACUACGGGAGGCAGCAGUAGGGACUCUGCCACAAUGGGCGAAAGCCUGAUGGAGCAACGCCGCGUGGGUGAAGAAGGUCUUCGGUUCUUAUAAUCCUGCUGUUACAGCCGAAAGCGACACCGAAUCGGUCACCCCUUCCCUACGCGACCCACUUCCGAUCUAGAGUUUGAUCCUGGC